GAGUUUGAUCCUGGCUCAGAGCGAACGCUGGCGGCAGGCCUAAAACAUGCAAGUCGAACGCACCUUCGGGUGAGUGGCGGACGGGUGAGUAACGCGUGGGAACGUGCCCUUUGGUUCGGAACAACUCAGGGAAACUUGAGCUAAUACCGGAUGUGCCCUUCGGGGAAAGAUUUAUCGCCAUUGGAGCGGCCCGCGUUGGAUUAGGUAGUUGGUGGGGUAAAGGCCCACCAAGCCUACGAUCCAUAGCUGGUCUGAGAGGAUGAUCAGCCACAUUGGGACUGAGACACGGCCCAAACUCCUACGGGAGGCAGCAGUUAGGAAUCUUGGGCAAUGGGCGAAAGCCUGACCCAGCCAUGCCGCGUGAAUGAUGAAGGUCCUAGGAUUGUAAAAUUCUUUCACCGGGAAGAUAAAUGACGGUACCCGGAGAAGAAGCUCCGGCUAACUUCGUGCCAGCCGCCGCGGUAA
This 465-nucleotide ribosomal RNA is filed under the name uncultured Alphaproteobacteria bacterium. RNAcentral describes it as "bacterial SSU rRNA". It matches the Rfam family "Bacterial small subunit ribosomal RNA", at positions 9 to 523 of the family's 1533-position model. Lineage: Bacteria; Pseudomonadati; Pseudomonadota; Alphaproteobacteria. The record is from RNAcentral.